AUAAACAUGUCUCCUUGUAGUUGUCACAGAUAAGGAGUCGAACCUGCCCGGUGAAUAUUUUUAACGGCCGCGGUACCCUGACCGUGCGAAGGUAGCGUAAUUAUUUGCCUUAUAAUUGGAGGCUUGUAUGAAUGGUUUGACUUGAGUGAAUCUGUCUCUUUAUAGUUCUGUAGAAUUUUAUUUUUAGGUGAAGAAGCCUAAAUUAAAUUAAAAGACAAGAAGACCCUAUCGAGCUUUAAAUAAAUUAAUUGGUAAUGUUAAUAUUUAUAAGUAUGGUUGUUUGGCUAACUAUAGUUGUUCUUAGUAGAAUAUAUAGAGUAAUAAUGUACAUUAUUAUAUAAAACAUUGACUGUUAAGAUUUUUUGGUUGGGGCGACUAAGGAACAGACAAAGCUUCCUUGAUUUAUAGGACUUGCGUGUGUUGAUCCAGAAUUUCUGAUUUAAGGAAUUAGUUACCGUAGGGAUAACAGCAUAAUCUUCUUUGAGAGUUCAUAUCGAAAAGGGGGUUUGUGACCUCGAUGUUGGACCAGGAUGUCCUGAAGAUGUAGAAGUCUUUGAGGGUUGGUCUGUUCGACCAUUAAAAUUCUACGUGAUCUGAGUUAAGACCGGCGUGAGCCAGGUCGGUUUCUAUCUUUAAUUUUUAUUUGUAGGCUUAGUACGAAAGGAUCAGCCUAUAGUAUUAAAUGUUGUUUUUGAAGAUAUAUAAUUUUUAAGUUAUCAAAUUAGCAGAAUUUAAUGCAAUUGAUUUAGGAUCAAUAGGUAUAGGCGGAAUUCCUUUAUUUGAUAUAUUGACACUGCAUGACAGAUGGCAGGAUUAGUGCUUUU
RNAcentral lists this ribosomal RNA (824 nucleotides) under Scalptia obliquata. RNAcentral's name for it is "partial 16S ribosomal RNA". The stretch from base 1 to 659 matches the Rfam family "Bacterial large subunit ribosomal RNA", at positions 1809 to 2925 of the family's 2925-position model. Lineage: Eukaryota; Metazoa; Mollusca; Gastropoda; Neogastropoda; Cancellariidae. The record is from RNAcentral.